GGUUGAUUGGGCACUGCAAAUUGUGAUUGUGAGCGCAAAAGGUUGUUCUUCUAUGUAUGCCCUUUGAUUGGCUGGCAACCGGUUCAGGGUGUCCUCCGCCUACUGUCCGAAGACAGCUGGGAUUGGUUCCAGCACACCUGCGACCCUUGUGACGAUA
Long non-coding RNA from Hippocampus comes (tiger tail seahorse), 157 nucleotides. RefSeq lists it as uncharacterized. NCBI's taxonomy places the organism in Eukaryota, Metazoa, Chordata, Actinopteri, Syngnathiformes, Syngnathidae. The transcript is spliced from 3 exons. The record is from RefSeq and is a predicted model, not a curated record.